AGGGCCGCUACCACGCGAGUGGAUGCCAAUCCCUAAAACCCCUCUCAGUUCGGACUGGAGUCUGCAACCCGACUCCACGAAGCUGGAUUCGCUAGUAAUCGCGCAUCAGCCACGGCGCGGUGAAUACGUUCCCGGGCCUUGUACACACCGCCCGUCAAGCCAUGGGAGCCGGGGGUACCUGAAGUGCGUAACCGCGAGGAUCGCCCUAGGGUAAAACUGGUGACUGGGGCUAAGUCGUAACAAGGUAAC
RNAcentral lists this ribosomal RNA (249 nucleotides) under uncultured bacterium. Its description in RNAcentral is "partial 16S ribosomal RNA". It matches the Rfam family "Bacterial small subunit ribosomal RNA", at positions 1243 to 1500 of the family's 1533-position model. The record is from RNAcentral.